Molecule: ribosomal RNA, 484 nt
Filed under: uncultured bacterium
Lineage: Bacteria
Description: partial 16S ribosomal RNA
Rfam family: Bacterial small subunit ribosomal RNA
Source: RNAcentral
AUUGAACGCUGGCGGCAGGCCUAACACAUGCAAGUCGAGCGGAUGAAGGGAGCUUGCUCCUGGAUUCAGCGGCGGACGGGUGAGUAAUGCCUAGGAAUCUGCCUGGUAGUGGGGGAUAACGUCCGGAAACGGGCGCUAAUACCGCAUACGUCCUGAGGGAGAAAGUGGGGGAUCUUCGGACCUCACGCUAUCAGAUGAGCCUAGGUCGGAUUAGCUAGUUGGUGGGGUAAAGGCCUACCAAGGCGACGAUCCGUAACUGGUCUGAGAGGAUGAUCAGUCACACUGGAACUGAGACACGGGCCACACUCCUACGGGAGGGAGCAGUGGGGAAUAUUGGACGAUGGGCGAGAGCCUGAUCCAGCCAUGCCGCGUGUGUGAAGAAGGUCUUCUGAUUGUAAAGCACUUUAAGUUGGGAGGAAGGGCAGUAAGUUAAUACCUUGCUGUUUUGACGUUACCAACAGAAUGAGCACCGGCUAGCUUCGUG